GGCCGCGGGAAUUCGAUUGAGUUUGAUCAUGGCUCAGGAUGAACGCUAGCGGCAGGCCUAACACAUGCAAGUCGAGGGGUAGAACACUUCGGUGUUUGAGACCGGCGCACGGGUGCGUAACGCGUAUGCAAUCUCCUUGUACAGGGGAAUAGCCCAGAGAAAUUUGGAUUAAUGCCCCAUAGUAUAUAACCUUCGCAUGUUGGUUAUAUUAAAGUUCCAACGGUACAAGAUGAGCAUGCGUCCCAUUAGUUAGUUGGUAAGGUAACGGCUUACCAAGACGAUGAUGGGUAGGGGUCCUGAGAGGGAGAUCCCCCACACUGGUACUGAGACACGGACCAGACUCCUACGGGAGGCAGCAGUGAGGAAUAUUGGUCAAUGGUCGCAAGACUGAACCAGCCAUGCCGCGUGUAGGAAGACGGUCCUAUGGAUUGUAAACUGCUUUUAUACAGGAAGAAACCCUCCCACGUGUGGGAGCUUGACGGUACUGUAGGAAUAAGGAUCGGCUAACUCCGUGCCAGCAGCCGCGGUAAUACGGAGGAUCCAAGCGUUAUCCGGAAUCAUUGGGUUUAAAGGGUCCGUAGGCGGUCUUAUAAGUCAGUGGUGAAAGCCCAUCGCUCAACGAUGGAACUGCCAUUGAUACUGUAAGACUUGAAUGCUUAGGAAGUAACUAGAAUAUGUAG
Molecule: ribosomal RNA, 680 nt
Filed under: uncultured Flavobacterium sp.
Lineage: Bacteria; Pseudomonadati; Bacteroidota; Flavobacteriia; Flavobacteriales; Flavobacteriaceae
Description: partial 16S ribosomal RNA
Rfam family: Bacterial small subunit ribosomal RNA
Source: RNAcentral